AUUGAACGCUGGCGGCAGGCCUAACACAUGCAAGUCGAGCGAGCGGCGGACGGGUGAGUAAUGUCUGGGAAACCGCCGGAUGGAGGGGGAUCACUACUGGAAACGGUAGCGAAUACCGCAUACCAUCCGAUUUGCCCAGAUGGGAUUAGCUAGUAGGUGGGGUAACGGCCCACCUGGGCGACGAUACCUAGCUGGUCUGAGCGGUUGACCAGCCAAACUGGAACUGAGACACGGUCCAGACUCCGACGGGAGGCAGCAGUGGGGAAUAUUGCACAAUGGGCGCAAGCCUGAUGCAGCAAUGCCGCGUGUGUGAAGAAGGCUUUCGGGUUGUAAAGCACUGUCAGCGGGGAGGCGUUACCCGCAGAAGAAGCACCGGCUAACUCCGUGCCAGCAGCCGCGGUAAUAC
This 406-nucleotide ribosomal RNA is filed under the name uncultured bacterium. RNAcentral describes it as "partial 16S ribosomal RNA". It matches the Rfam family "Bacterial small subunit ribosomal RNA", at positions 29 to 526 of the family's 1533-position model. The record is from RNAcentral.